Arachis ipaensis is the source of this 1204-nucleotide non-coding RNA. NCBI's taxonomy places the organism in Eukaryota, Viridiplantae, Streptophyta, Magnoliopsida, Fabales, Fabaceae. The record is from RefSeq and is a predicted model, not a curated record.
AUUUUGUCAUAAAUUACAAGCAGUGCAAAGAAACACACAAAAUAAUGAUACCUAGUAUAGUAAUAAUUUUUGCAUCUAAAUGUUAGAUUAUUUUUAAUUUAUUUUAUUUUGUUAAUUUUUGUGCAUCUACAAUAUACGACAAUUCAAUUUUUUUUAAAAAAAUUUCCUACAGAAUUCUUCGGCCUAUGCAUUGCAUAGACUUUCUGCUAGUAAUUUAUAUAUAAUAAGAGAAAAUACAGCUUUAUAAAGUAGUUUAUACUAGUGAAUUAAUUUUAAAUCUUACAUUUAAAUCUUGAGAGCGGUGAAGUUUUAGCAGUUGAUGUUUCAUGCAUUGUUGCUGUCUUAGUUUGAUUAAGCAUUUCUCUUCUGCUUUGUAAAUAUGGUUAAUUUCACCUCAACCUCAGGCUUUGCUGGUAUUGAGCUUCUUCUGUAUUUACAUCUGUUGUUUUAGUCUGCCUAUAGAAGUUGGUUAGCUGAUAUAAUUCGAAUUCUGGAUUUUUGUGCAAAUGUGAAUCAUAUAUAAUUUGUGUGUUAUGACCAUUCUUCUUUUACCUCUUUCCAGUGGGAUAAAAACAUGUAUGAUCAAUGUUUAAUGCUUUUAUUUUGCUUUUUCACUUGAUUGCAUAAUAUAUAGUUCAGUACAUUCAUUUAUCAGUUAUGUCAAUUUAGAACUGAGUAGUAACACUUCGUUGCUGCAUAAUUAAAAGAUACAAAUUUGACAAUGUUAUUUAAGGGAUAAGAGACAAAAAUUGUAAAAUUGUUUCCAGUUUGCUAUAAUCUAUAAUGUUUGCCAUGUCACUUGUAGUUUCUUGAUCUUAGCUCAUUGCAAGCUGCUCUGCCCGAUGCACAGUUACAACCCACUUUCCAUAGUGGUAUUGCCAAACCAUGGCUUCCUCAAAAUUCAGUUAACUCCUACAUCUCCUCUGCUGAACAAGGUGGUGGUUUGACAUCCUUGCCUGCUCAACCACCAAGUUCUCAAAUAUCAUGCUCUGUAUCCUUUAUGCAAAGGGGGAAGGCCUUCUAUGACUUCCAUUUCAAGACAAGGCUUGUAAAAUCCCCAAGCCUUAUGUACGAUCUAAAGGAAGGAAGUUUGACAGGGCUAGAGGAAGGAGGAACAACAAAGGACAUAGGAUUUAAGUUGUAUUAUUUUUGUAUUUUUCUUCAGUUUUUAGUUAUGGAAUUUGAACUCGAGAUUUAUUUUGUA